Molecule: ribosomal RNA, 396 nt
Filed under: uncultured bacterium
Lineage: Bacteria
Description: partial 16S ribosomal RNA
Rfam family: Bacterial small subunit ribosomal RNA
Source: RNAcentral
AAUAUUGCACAAUGGGGGAAACCCUGAUGCCGCGACGCCGCGUGAGCGAAGAAGGCCUUCGGGUCGUAAAGCCCUUCCCUCGGGUAAGUAAGGGACCGUACCCUGGCAGGCAUCCCCAGCUAACCACGCUCCAGCAGCCGCGGUAAUACGUAGGGGGCGAGCGUUAUCCGGAACUAUUGGGCGUAAAGGGUGCGUAGGCUGCCUUUUAAGUCAGAUGUGAAAGGCUACGGCUUAACCGUAGUUAGCAUUUGAAACUAAAAGGCUUGAGUGCAGGAGAGGAGAGUGGAAUUCAUAGUGUAGCGGUGAAAUGCGUAGAUAUUAGGAGGAACACCAGUGGCGAAGGCGACUCUCUGGACUGCAACUGACGCUGAGGCACGAAAGCGUGGGGAGCGAACA